Molecule: non-coding RNA, 45 nt
Organism: Schistosoma mattheei
Lineage: Eukaryota; Metazoa; Platyhelminthes; Trematoda; Strigeidida; Schistosomatidae
Source: Rfam
AUUCAGCUGACGAGUCUCAAAUAGGACAAAAUGCGCUUACUGGAU